Molecule: long non-coding RNA, 1529 nt
Filed under: Mus caroli (Ryukyu mouse)
Lineage: Eukaryota; Metazoa; Chordata; Mammalia; Rodentia; Muridae
Description: lncRNA (MGP_CAROLIEiJ_G0006115.1)
Source: RNAcentral
ACACCAACAUAAUGGACAGGACUACUCAGCUCAUCACAAGGAUAAUUCCAACCACAUCCAAUCAGGUCUCAAAUUUCUGAGGUAAGGGUCCACAGAAAGGGAAUUGAUGUCUGCCAGUGGAAAAGAAUGACGCUAAUGAAGAUACAAAUGGAAGUUCAGAACCACCAUAAAGCAUGCUAGCAAAUAACAACAAAGACCGGGGGUUGGCAGCAAGGAAUAGGCAGGGCGGCUGCUGGUAUGACGUCAGCAGCGGGAGCGGGACCUACCAGCCCCUACAGUGCAGAUGAGGUUCUCAGUGUUGACAUUGGCCAGGGCCUUUGCGAACAAGCCAGGCCUGAAAGAUGUCAUCUGCUGUCACUGAAGGAGAAAGUACAGGAAAAAAAACAAAAAACAACAGCAAGAAGUCAUUUGAAGCCUUCUAGAUUUUUCACUAGUAUCAACAGGUGGAUUCCACCUCUCAGCCUUCUUCUACCUGUCGAAAUUCAGAUGCAGCUUUUAAGUAUAAAAGCGGUGUCCAGUGCUCAGUGACUAGACGAUAGUUCUCUACAGAAUGUUCAAGGACACCACAGUGAAUUUGAAGAUGGAUAGAGUUAGUCAUUCAAGUAAUGUUUAUAUGUGAUGUAUUCGUGUUGUUCAAGCACCAAUGACUCACUAGUAAAGAGAGCAUUGUUUCAUCACACAUUUCACUGUGGGGAGUAGAAGAUGAACACAUUAAUGUUUAACACACCAGAAUUAACAUGCUUGCAUUGGUGAUACUGUGAGCCUGAUAGGAGAGAGAUGCAAGCCUCUGGGCGGGAGGGAGGGAUUCUCUAUACCAAGCUAGUUCAGGUGGGAAGACAUACUAUAAAUAUGGGGAGCAACAGCCUUUGGGCUGGGUCCUGGAAUGUAUAAAGACCUGCAUCUCCCACCUUCUGACAGCUGUAGCCAUUUUGUUCCAUGCCUGCCUGCUAUUUUGUAUUGUUGCUGUAAUAUGCCCGCCAGUCACUGAUACAGAAAAAUAACUUGACUAAGAGCAGGGCCAUGCUGACCACUUUGUUAAUCUUAAGAAAUUUGACAACCAUAAGCUUCACUUAGGGCUCAUCAGAAAAAAAGGUCAAUUAGAACUGUUCUGCCUAGCUAGCCAAAAAAGCUUGAGUCAAGAGCUGACCACUAGGCAGCACUUCCUGCACCUGCACGUGAGCUCAUUGGGGUUUUAUCACUUAUAAGCCAGCUCUGAGAAAUGUUCAAGCUUGGAGCUUCAGCGCCCGAAUUCUGAGCUAUGGCCCUGAUUGGUAGAUCUUAGGGUGUGCAUUCUAUAAACCGUUCCUGUUUCGCUAAGAUGGUUGUGUGGUUUGUGGGGUGACUCCUGGACCCGCAACAGAAUGAUUAAAAUCAAGAAAGCAAACGGAGAGCUUGCAAACAUCCAUCUCUCUUCUUCCUGACUAUGCAUACAUACAUGAGACCAGGUGCCUCAUACCCUUGCUGCUGUGAUUUUCCCACCAUGAUGCUGCUGCACUCCCCAACUGUGAAUGGAAUGAACCUUUCUCUCU